AGAGUUUGAUCCUGGCUCAGGAUGAACGCUAGCUACAGGCUUAACACAUGCAAGUCGAGGGGCAGCAUGUUGGUUGCUUGCAACCAACGAUGGCGACCGGCGCACGGGUGAGUAACGCGUAUCCAACCUACCCUUGUCCAUCGGAUAACCCGUCGAAAGGCGGCCUAACACGAUAUGCGGUUCACAGCAGGCAUCUAACGUGAACGAAAUGUGAAGGAGAAGGAUGGGGAUGCGUCUGAUUAGCUUGUUGGCGGAGUAACGGCCACCAAGGCUACGAUCAGUAGGGGUUCUGAGAGGAAGGUCCCCCANAUUGGAACUGAGACACGGUCCAAACUCAUACGGGAGGCA
RNAcentral lists this ribosomal RNA (348 nucleotides) under uncultured bacterium. Its description in RNAcentral is "bacterial SSU rRNA". It matches the Rfam family "Bacterial small subunit ribosomal RNA", at positions 8 to 350 of the family's 1533-position model. The record is from RNAcentral.